AUUGAACGCUGGCGGCAUGCCUUACACAUGCAAGUCGAACGCGAAAGGGGGGCAACUCCUGAGUAGAGUGGCGCACGGGUGAGUAAUGCAUCGGAACGUGUCCUGUAGCGGGGGAUAACCUAGCGAAAGCUAGGCUAAUACCGCAUACGUCCUACGGGAGAAAGUGGGGGAUCGUAAGACCUCACACUAUAGGCGCGGCCGAUGCCGGCUUAGCUAGUGAGUGGGGUAAAAGCCUACUAAGGCGACGAUCCGUAGCUGGUCUGAGAGGAUGAUCAGACACACUGGGACUGAGACACGGCCCAGACGCCGUCGGGAGGCAGCAGUGGGGAAGUUUGGACAAGGGGGGAAACCCUGAUCCAGCCAUGCCGCGUGAGUGAAGAAGGCCUUCGGGUUGUAAAGCUCUUUCGGCCGGGACGAAAUCGCACGCGUGAAUAUCGCGUGUGGAUGACGGUACCGGAAGAAGAAGGACCGGCUAACUACGUGCCAGCCGCCGCAGUAA
This 499-nucleotide ribosomal RNA is filed under the name uncultured bacterium. RNAcentral describes it as "partial 16S ribosomal RNA". It matches the Rfam family "Bacterial small subunit ribosomal RNA", at positions 29 to 523 of the family's 1533-position model. The record is from RNAcentral.